RNAcentral lists this transfer RNA (83 nucleotides) under Canis lupus familiaris (dog). It matches the Rfam family "tRNA". Rfam says of the family: Transfer RNA (tRNA) molecules are approximately 80 nucleotides in length. The record is from Rfam by way of RNAcentral. Lineage: Eukaryota; Metazoa; Chordata; Mammalia; Carnivora; Canidae.
GCCUGGGUGGCUUAGUGGUUGAGCGUCUACCUUUGACUUAGGGCGUGUUCCUGGAGUUGCGGGAUCAAGUCCCACAUCAGGCU